Molecule: ribosomal RNA, 445 nt
Filed under: uncultured bacterium
Lineage: Bacteria
Description: partial 16S ribosomal RNA
Rfam family: Bacterial small subunit ribosomal RNA
Source: RNAcentral
GUAAGGAAUAUUGGACAAUGGACGCAAGUCUGAUCCAGCCAUGCCGCGUGAAGGAUUAAGGUCCUCUGGAUUGUAAACUUCUUUUAUAAGGGACGAAAAAAGGCUUUUCUAAGUCGUCUGACGGUACCUUAUGAAUAAGCACCGGCUAACUCCGUGCCAGCAGCCGCGGUAAUACGGAGGGUGCAAGCGUUAUCCGGAUUCACUGGGUUUAAAGGGUGCGUAGACGGGCAGGUAAGUCAGUGGUGAAAUCCUAGAGCUUAACUCUAGAACUGCCAUUGAUACUAUCGGUCUUGAAUAUUGUGGAGGUAAGCGGAAGAUGUCAUGUAGCGGUGAACUGCUUAGAUAUGACAUAGAACACCUAUUGCGAAGGCAGCUUACUACGCAUAUAUUGACGCUGAGGCACGAAAGCGUGGGGAUCAAACAGGAUUAGAAACCCCGGUAGUCC